GCAUCAACUUCUAACUCAUCUCGCCAGGAGAGGCCUCCAGUGAAACCCUUCAUUCUCACUCGGAACAUGGCUCAAGCCAAAGUAUUUGGAGCUGGUUAUCCAAGUCUGCCAACUAUGACGGUGAGUGACUGGUAUGAGCAACAUCGGAAAUAUGGAGCAUUACCGGAUCAGGGAAUAGCCAAGGCAGCACCAGGUCAUCAGAAUGAAGGAAAGUCUGAGAAAGAGUUACAUCCUAGAGGAGACUAAAGAAACAGACAACAAAAUGUACUGUGGUGACCUGGAUAGGAUCCUGGAACGGAAAAGGGACAUUAGAGGAAUUCAGAAAAGCAGCUCAGCAACAGGAAGAACAAGAAGAAAAGGAGGAAGAGGAUGAUGAACAAACACUCCACAGAGCCCGGGAGUGGGAUGACUGGAAGGACACCCAUCCUAGGGGCUAUGGGAACCGACAGAACAUGGGCUGAUCUUCCCACAACACCACAGGACUGCAGGGUGCACAACUCCCCUGCCAAGGAAAACCAUGCAGUCCUCCCCUCCCUGGUCUCCUGCUUCAGCUCUGUACAACGAGGGCAAAGAUGCUAAAUCUUGCUUUGCAUUCAGUAAAGUGUCAAGUGAUUAAGUGUGUAUUUGUACCCUAGAUGAUAUGAACCAGCAGUCUUGUUUUGGCAUCAUCCUCAUCAUGUUGUAUUCCAGCUUCUUAAGUGGAAGGAAAAGAGUGCUGAGAAAUGGCUCUGUAUAAUCUAUGGCUAUCCGAAUUCUCUGAAAAAAUAAUAAAAGUC
This 776-nucleotide long non-coding RNA is filed under the name Homo sapiens (human). RNAcentral describes it as "long non-coding RNA NONHSAT222763.1". Lineage: Eukaryota; Metazoa; Chordata; Mammalia; Primates; Hominidae. The record is from RNAcentral.